Non-coding RNA from Oryzias latipes (Japanese medaka), 1839 nucleotides. NCBI's taxonomy places the organism in Eukaryota, Metazoa, Chordata, Actinopteri, Beloniformes, Adrianichthyidae. The record is from RefSeq and is a predicted model, not a curated record.
GCGGGAGCCGAAAAUGGUUAAGCUUAACUCUCUUAACUUUUCUCAUUCAUUCUCUAUGGUAGUUCUUAACACUACGGAUGUAAUAUACUUUUUCACCACUAGCGAGAUUUUGGGGGCGCUGUUUCCACAUCGUCUUAGUAGUAAGGUUUUCACAGGAAGAGCCUUUAGGAAGACAAAACAACAAUAAUCCUGCGGCCAGAUUUGAUCCGAUCGCUGUUAAAACACAAGAGCACAACAAGUUAAAGUCAAGUUAAAGUCUGAUAUCUCCAGAAUGAAGAGGAAAUUAAUUUUUCCUGGAAAAAUCUGCGUGAGCUUCAGACGAGGCCCAACUGGGUUUCUCAGGCAGGACCCUUCAGAUGAAGCCAAGAGGAUCAAAAAAAAUCCUGAGCUCCAGGACAAGUCUGCUCCCCAGAGAGAGGAAAAAGUGAAGGAAAACGCCCUGUCAAAAGUCUUCAUUAGGGGUGGAGAUACAUCUGACAGGCAGGAGGUGUUGGGGGAGUAUGUUCUUCAAUUUGGCAAAUACAAGGGGAAGUCCUUUCGGUGGCUGCUAGAAAAUGAUAUUGGCUACACCAUUUAUUUAAUUAACAAGGUUGAGGAAGAGGAGAGAGCUGGACUCUUUAAUGCCGAGGGACCAAAGAAGGAGAGUCUCUUUUCAUUUCUGGAUUAUACCCGACACUUUCACGAAAUCAGAGAUCUGAGAAACUGUUUAGCUGAAAGAUCAGUGGAGCCACCUUCAAGUAGUGAGGACAACCAGCUGGUUGGAUUUGGUGUGCAUUCUAAGAAGACCUGGAAGGAUGUCUGGGAGAAAAGAGAAGAUGGAUAUGCAUCAUUUAUCCUCAGGAAACAGUGUGUUUCAGGCAGCAAAAUGUUCCUGCUCCAGCAGUACCUGAAGAAGAAAGAGGCUCAGACUCAGAGCUCUUCAGAACCUGCUCUUACUAAACCUUCUUCUAGUCCUCCAGUAUCUUCGUUAGAGAUGGAAGAUGAUGAAGAGUUGGAGAGAAUGAUGCUUUCUGUCUCUCCAUCCAAACUCCUCCCUUUACAAGAGCAGAGACAUUUAGUGAAGAAGAUGACAGGCCCAACAUGUUUAGAAACAAUCCCAACCCAACCAAGUUCACUGAGUAAAGGUCUAGAUGCUGCUGCUGCCACUGCCACCGCCGCCGCUGGUACCUGAUGGUUCUGUCGUAAACCAGGAUCACCUUUUCCUUUCCUCUGUUUGCUGGUUGGCCACGUUCAGGCCUGUUCUAAUGCAGGUGUUUUGUUUGACUGCUUUUAUGAUGCUGAAGGUAUUCAUUGUUCGUCGUCGAGGACCAGCCUGAGAGGUCCAGCUGUCCUGCUGCCACACAUGCAGUUACUUCAGCUCCAGUGAAGACUCCUCUGCCAGUACCACCAGAGUUGCUCGCUUUGGAACUGCCUCAACGUGUCCAGGAUAAAACCUACACAGUCGUUGGAAGACCCUCAGCUCAGUCUGCAGCUCCUUCUCCUGCUCACUUUCAGCCAACGCCUGCUGCUUCACCACUUCCAUCUUAUGACCAGGAUGUUAGCAGCUGGAACUGCUCUCCCCAGCAGAGGAUCUGGAUGAAAACAGAGAUGGAAGCCUUAGGACUGUGGCCUGGGUCUCCACCUGUAAGACAUGCCAUGAAUAUGAUCUCCUUGUGGCGUAACCCACCUCAGCCGGAACUCAUUGACUCAAUUUAUGAGCUACCAUCCCCAAAGUACUUUCACCUCCAUCCUUUUUUUAUCUGGAAACCAGACCAUGCAAUAAUGGAAAGAGUGCGUAACAACUACCCCCUCCCGUGUCUGCAUGGCUGCCCAAAACCCCUCGUGGUCUCCUCUGGAACA